GUGGGGAAUUUUGGACAAUGGGCGAAAGCCUGAUCCAGCCAUGCCGCGUGAGUGAAGAAGGCCUUCGGGUUGUAAAGCUCUUUCGGCCGGGAAGAAAUCGCACGCUCUAACAUAGCGUGUGGAUGACGGUACCGGACUAAGAAGCACCGGCUAACUACGUGCCAGCAGCCGCGGUAAUACGUAGGGUGCGAGCGUUAAUCGGAAUUACUGGGCGUAAAGCGUGCGCAGGCGGUUUUGUAAGACAGAUGUUAAAUCCCCGGGCUUAACCUGGGGACUGCGUUUGGGACUGCAAGGCUAGAGUACGGCAGAGGGGGGUGGAAUUCCGGGUGUAGCAGUGAAAUGCGUAGAUAUCAGGAGGAACACCGAUGGCGAAGGCAGCCCCCUGGGCCUGUACUGACGCUCAUGCACGAAAGCGUGGGGAGCAAACAGGAUUAGAUACCCGGGUAGUCC
Molecule: ribosomal RNA, 450 nt
Filed under: uncultured bacterium
Lineage: Bacteria
Description: partial 16S ribosomal RNA
Rfam family: Bacterial small subunit ribosomal RNA
Source: RNAcentral